RNAcentral lists this ribosomal RNA (489 nucleotides) under Actinomyces sp. oral taxon 171. RNAcentral's name for it is "bacterial SSU rRNA". It matches the Rfam family "Bacterial small subunit ribosomal RNA", at positions 28 to 491 of the family's 1533-position model. The record is from RNAcentral. Lineage: Bacteria; Bacillati; Actinomycetota; Actinomycetes; Actinomycetales; Actinomycetaceae.
GACGAACGCUGGCGGCGUGCUUAACACAUGCAAGUCGAACGGUGAAGGGGCCUGCUUUUGUGGGUCCUGGAUGAGUGGCGAACGGGUGAGUAACACGUGAGUAACCUGCCCCCUUCUUCUGGAUAACCGCAUGAAAGUGUGGCUAAUACGGGAUAUUCUGUGCCUGCUGCAUGGUGGGUGUGGGAAAGAUUGCGCCCUUUUUGGGUGUUUUUGGUGGGGGAUGGGCUCGCGGCCUAUCAGCUUGUUGGUGGGGUGAUGGCCUACCAAGGCGGUGACGGGUAGCCGGCCUGAGAGGGUGGACGGUCACACUGGGACUGAGACACGGCCCAGACUCCUACGGGAGGCGCAGUGGGGAAUAUUGCACAAUGGGCGCAAGCCUGAUGCAGCGACGCCGCGUGAGGGAUGGAGGCCUUCGGGUUGUGAACCUCUUUCGCCAGUGAAGCAGGCCUGCUCCUUGGUGGGUGGGUUGACGGUAGCUGGAUAAGAAGC